UACCGAACGUGCGUACCAUGCACUAGUGGACGCGUUUGGCGAGCCUGAACAACCGGACGGGAACGCUAGUCCACCGUACUUUGGCCGCGUGCCGGUGUAUAAUGCAAACAGGGCCAGUGGCCCAGUACCAUCGACGCCCCUGCCACGUCCAGCUGCGGUACGACCGUACGUGCGGCCCGGUUCACGCUUUUACCGCCGCCAUUCGCCACUAGAACCACCGUCAGUGCACGGUUCGUCGCUUGGCUGCUUGCGUGAGAAACCACCGGUACAGCCACGGUACAGCAGCUACACCAGCCAGCAGACGAAGCAGCAACAGCAGCGCGAACCAUCGAUCUCGUCACCGGGCAGUCCGGCAUCGAGUGGGGACGGUCCGCAGCAGCGGGUAGCAAGGAGCCGCUUUCUCGCCAUGUCCGGCGACGCAGACGCGGUGCAGACCGAGCACGAACCGGACCGUGCGAGAACGCCCCCAAAUACUUCGGCAUCGAUCGGGGGCACCAAUUCCGAUACCGGAGCGCACGACGCACAGCCGAUGUCGGUCGACACGAUGGUCGGGUCCGGUAGCAGUGCCGUCACUUCGGGCCCGCCAGUAGCAUCGACUGGCUCGAGCGCGACAGUGCCGUCGACAGCAACGCACGCACCGACCAGCAGCAGCAACGGUAACAACCAGCAACAGCAGCAGCAGCAGCAGAACCAGGUGAACAACAAUCACAGCAACAGCGCAGUGGACGCACCGAAUGAUACAGGUGUCGCCGGAUCAAAGCGCGAUCUAAACCCGAAAGGUGCGGCACUGGUGCGGAGCAAGGAAUCCGUAUCGCCACUGCCGCUAAAGCGCCCGCACGCGCCCGGCAUCGGGCAGAACGGUACCGGCGGUAAGGACACGAACAACAACGCACCCGGUGACGGACACCGCAGUCCGCUCGGUGCGGCCACGCAAUCAACCAACGCAAACGGGCCGGGUCAAACGCCCACCAAUCCGAACCAACCGACGCGCCCGAUAGGUGGCAUCAAGGGUCGCAAGGGUGGUGGCUGGAAGGCCCGCCCGGACAGUGAAUCGUUCGGGAACGCGCUCAACUCGCCGACGGACGAGGACGAGCUGCUUGCUGGCAGCCCGGUAACGGUCCGUCGACAACCGAUCAACGUCAAUCCGGUCAUCACACGGGAUAAACUCGCCAGUUCCGGUGGUGGUAGUGGUGUUGUUGGUGGGGUUGGUAGUGUUAGUGGUGGUGGUGGUGGUGGUUGGGGACCAAGACAGCGUGGAGGGGCAGUUGAGCGUGGUAGCCGCAUCCAGAGUCCAGCCACCGGUACAGUUCCCCAUCUGCACGGUGGACUUGGUGGUGGUAUAGGAGUAGUAGGAGUAGGAGGAGGAGGAGGAGGAGGUGCUGGUGGAGGAACCGGUGGGACGUCGAUGGACGUUGGGAGUGAGGGUGCGUCGCAGCUAGCAGCCGCUAACGCAACCGGCAUUGCCACCGUUCCAUCCGGCGGUACCGCCGUACCAGGUACAGCAGCAAGCACACCGGGCACCGCCCCACAACAGGCUGGUCCGGUACCGGUAAAGCGCAGCCAGUCGCGAAACGACGUGCUGGACCUGGACAGUGUACCCGGACCGUCGGGGCUACUGCCGAGCAACCCGGGCGUACCGGGCACGAUCGGGGGCAAUCCGCAGUCACGCUACUCAAACCUGUCGUUCUGGAAGGCGCGGCGGGUGCUGUUCUACCGGAAUGGCGAUCCCUUCUUUCCGGGCGUCGAGUUCCGGUUCAAGCCCGGGCGGGACAUCUGUACGCUCGAGGCACUGCUCGACAAGAUCUCCGCCCGGAUGGAUCUGCCCCGGGGUGCCCGCUACAUAUUCUCGAUGGAUGGCGACCGGAAGUACUCGCUCGAUGAGCUGGAGGACGGUUCCAGCUACGUCGUCUCCUCGUUCAAGGUGUUCAAGCCGGCCAGCUACGGCAAGAAGAACGGCGUGUGGUACGCAUCACCGGGCAAUCAGGGAUGGGGGAGUGGUGCGGGCCCGGGCCGACUCGGCCGCAAACCGUCCGUCACCGAGGUGGACAACAUGCCGUCCGGCAGCUUAAAGCCGAGUGCUGGGCGCGUUAUUAGAAUAAUCAACAGUCACGAUCACAGCGUACAGUGUCGCGUACUGCUGAACCUGCGCACAUCGCAACCGUUCGAGGAGGUGCUGGAGGAUCUCGGCCAGGUGUUGAAGAUGAUCGGAGCCAAAAAGAUGUAUACCAGCAACGGGCAGGAGGUGCGCAGCUUCUCGCAACUGCGCAACGAGUUCGCCGAGGUGGAGACGUUCUAUCUGAGCAACACACCCUCGCUACCGGUCGGUGCGCUUGGGCCGGGUGUGAUUCCACCCUCACCUGGUCGUCGUUCGCGCUCCCGGCUCGGCGGCUCCGUACCGGACGACCUGUCGAAGACGACGGCCCGGCAGCGGGCACGCAGCAAGAGCCGCCCGCGGGUACUGUACGCGCCAGAAAACGAGCUGGUCCGCGCCUCGUCCGACUAUCCGCUGCUGGACGCGAUGAAGGAGGAACCAACGCGCAUCACGAUCCGCGGACUGCGGCGUACCUUCUAUCCGCCGCUGCACCAUCCGCCGAUAGAUAACGCACCGCCCGAUAAGAAGCUGUCCCUGUUUUGGGUGCAUGGUUACCGUGGAAUUGAUUCCAAGCGCAACCUUUGGGUUUUGCCGUCCGGUGAACUGCUGUACUAUGUUGCCGCCGUUGCCGUGCUGUACGAUCGCGAGGAGGACGCUCAGCGCCAUUACACCGGCCACACGGAGGACAUCAUGUGCAUGGAGGUGCACCCAUCGCGGGAACUUGUCGGCUCGGGACAGCGGGCCGGCCGGGACCGGAAGUCCCAGGCGCACGUGCGCAUCUGGAGCACCGAGUCGCUCCAGACACUGUACGUGUUCGGUAUGGGUGAGCUCGAUUCUGGCGUGAUUGCGGUCGCCUUUUCACAGCUGAACGGUGGCAGCUACAUCCUUGCGGUGGACGCCGGCCGCGAAAGCAUCCUGUCCGUCUGGCAAUGGCAAUGGGGCCAUCUGCUUGGCAAGGUGGCGACUCUGCAAGAAGGUAUCUGGGGCGCAACAUUCCAUCCACUGGACGAUAAUUUACUGAUCACACAUGGACGAGGUCAUCUCGCGUUUUGGCACAGACGGAAAGACGGUUUCUUCGAAAAGACAGACAUCAUUAAGCCGCCUUCAAGAACAUUUGUGACCUGUGUACAGUUUGAGCCAGAUGGCGACGUCAUAACAGCGGAUAGUGACGGUUUCAUCACAAUCUACAGUGUCGAUGCAGACGGUGCGUACUUUGUACGUAUGGAGUUUGAAGCCCACAACAAAGCGAUCAGUUGUUUGGUGAUGCUAUCCGAGGGUACACUCAUAUCCGGUGGCGAAAAGGAUCGCAAAAUUGCCGCCUGGGACUCGCUGCAAAAUUACAAACGCAUCACGGACAUUAAGCUACCGGAGUCGGCCGGCGGUGUACGCUCGAUAUAUCCGCAGCGACCGGGCCGGAACGAUGGCAACAUCUACGUCGGUACGACGCGCAACAACAUCCUGGAGGGUUCGCUACAGCGGCGCUUCAACCAAGUCAUCUUCGGACACGGCAAGCAUCUGUGGGCGCUGGCAGCCCACCCAGACGACGAGGUGUUCGCAACCGGUGGCCACGACAAGUAUGUGGCGCUGUGGCGCCGCCAGAAGCUAAUCUGGACGACGUCUGUCGGGUACGAGAUAAUAGCGCUUGCGUUCCAUCCGUACGGUGCUGCCCUGGCGGCCGGCAGUUCCGAAGGUCAUCUGAUCGUGAUUAAUGCGGAGAAUGGUGCCACGAUGCUAACGAUCCGGGUCUGCGGUUCACCGCUGAAUGCGGUCGAGUUCAAUCAAGUCGGUGACAUGAUAGCGAUCGGGUCGCAGAAUGGCAGUAUCUAUCUAUUCCGAGUGUCACGCGAUGGGUUCUCGUACAAAAAGAUCAACAAGAUCCGUGGUUCGCAACCGCUGACACAUCUCGACUGGAGCAGCGAGGGCAACUUCCUCCAGUCGGUGACGGUUGAUUUCGAUCUGCUGUUCUGGGAUGUGAAGUCACUGUCGCCGGAGAAGAGCCCGAUUGCGAUGAAGGAUGUGAAGUGGUUGUCCAACAACAGUACCGUCGGUUUCCUGGUGGCCGGUCUCUGGAACAACCGCUACUAUCCGGCACCGUCGAACACAAUCAUCACGACGACGGCCCGUACCGCGGCCCAGGAUCUGGUGGCGGCCGGUGACGCCGACGGUUAUCUGCGUCUGUUCCGCUAUCCGUGCAUCACACCGCGGGCCGAGUUUACCGAGGCGAAGGUGUACUCCGGUACGCUCGCCUGCGUUAAGUUCCUGUACGGCAACCACAGCCUGGUGACGGUCGGCGGUACCGACGCGUCGCUCAUGAUCUGGGAGCUAACCGAGGAAUAGCCACUGUGGCCGCCGUGGCGCACCGGGGUCGGCGUCGCCGCAGCCGCAACCGCCGGGUCUCCCUCACCAGCAGAGUCGAACUCGAUUCACCGGACGACUUCUUCUUUUUGUUGUAACUCGUUUGUGCAGGAUCAGGACCUGUCACCACCAGCCGGUGGUACCGUGG
Anopheles funestus (African malaria mosquito) is the source of this 4595-nucleotide RNA transcript. It is a transcript of the gene named echinoderm microtubule-associated protein-like CG42247, with no coding region annotated. NCBI's taxonomy places the organism in Eukaryota, Metazoa, Arthropoda, Insecta, Diptera, Culicidae. The transcript is spliced from 10 exons. The record is from RefSeq and is a predicted model, not a curated record.